ANGACUCUCGGCAACGGAUAUCUAGGCUCUCGCAACGAUGAAGAACGUAGCGAAAUGCGAUACUUGGUGUGAAUUGCAGAAUCCCGUGAACCAUCGAGUUUUUGAACGCAAGUUGCGCCCGAAGCCUUCUGGUUGAGGGCACGUCUGCCUGGGCAUCACACAUUGU
RNAcentral lists this ribosomal RNA (166 nucleotides) under Phyllachne uliginosa. RNAcentral describes it as "5.8S ribosomal RNA". It matches the Rfam family "5.8S ribosomal RNA". From Rfam's summary of the family: 5.8S ribosomal RNA (5.8S rRNA) is a component of the large subunit of the eukaryotic ribosome. Lineage: Eukaryota; Viridiplantae; Streptophyta; Magnoliopsida; Asterales; Stylidiaceae. The record is from RNAcentral.